RNAcentral lists this ribosomal RNA (497 nucleotides) under uncultured bacterium. RNAcentral's name for it is "partial 16S ribosomal RNA". It matches the Rfam family "Bacterial small subunit ribosomal RNA", at positions 28 to 507 of the family's 1533-position model. The record is from RNAcentral.
GACGAACGCUGGCGGCGUGCCUAAUACAUGCAAGUAGAACGCUGAAGCGAGGAGCUUGCUCUUCUUGGAUGAGUUGCGAACGGGUGAGUAACGCGUAGGUAACCUGCCUUGUAGCGGGGGAUAACUAUUGGAAACGAUAGCUAAUACCGCAUAACAAUGGAUGACACAUGUCAUUUAUUUGAAAGGGGCAAUUGCUCCACUACAAGAUGGACCUGCGUUGUAUUAGCUAGUAGGUGAGGUAAUGGCUCACCUAGGCGACGAUACAUAGCCGACCUGAGAGGGUGAUCGGCCAAACUGGGACUGGGACACGGCCCAGACUCCUACGGGAGGCAGCAGUAGGGAAUCUUCGGCAAUGGGGGCAACCCUGACCGAGCAACGCCGCGUGAGUGAAGAAGGUUUUCGGAUCGUAAAGCUCUGUUGUAAGUCAAGAACGGGUGUGAGAGUGGAAAGUUCACACUGUGACGGUAGCUUACCAGAAAGGGACGGCUAACUACGUG